ACGGAAGGCAGCAGUGGGGAAUAUUGGACAAUGGGGGAAACCCUGAUCCAGCGACGCCGCGUGAGUGAAGAAGUAUUUCGGUAUGUAAAGCUCUGUCAGCAAGGAAGAAAAUGACGGUACUUGACUAAGAAGCUCCGGCUAAAUACGUGCCAGCAGCCGCGGUAAUACGUAUGGAGCAAGCGUUAUCCGGAUUUACUGGGUGUAAAGGGAGCGUAGACGGCAAAGCAAGUCCGAAGUGAAAUCCCGGGGCUCAACCCCGGAACUGCUUUGGAAACUGUUUAGCUAGAGUGCGGGAGAGGUAAGCGGAAUUCCUAGUGUAGCGGUGAAAUGCGUAGAUAUUAGGAGGAACACCAGUGGCGAAGGCGGCUUACUGGACUGUAACUGACGUUGAGGCUCGAAAGCGUGGGGAGCAAACAGGAUUAGAUACCCUGGUA
This 434-nucleotide ribosomal RNA is filed under the name uncultured Lachnospiraceae bacterium. Its description in RNAcentral is "partial 16S ribosomal RNA". It matches the Rfam family "Bacterial small subunit ribosomal RNA", at positions 341 to 792 of the family's 1533-position model. Lineage: Bacteria; Bacillati; Bacillota; Clostridia; Lachnospirales; Lachnospiraceae. The record is from RNAcentral.